AAAUUCAUAAAUAGUUUAAUUUAGUUCAUAAUUAAUUCAUAAGACGAUAUAUUAUUCAUCACUCUAUUUUCUAUCAACCACGUAUACUUACGUGUGUUCGUUUGACCCUAACUAUUGUUGCCAUAAUAAAUUGGAUCGAUAUGACUUACUGAAAGAUGAACAAGCCAUUUACCGACUCCAUCUCCGAAUCCUGGCUCAAAAUGGUAUGCUGGAGGUGAUCCGUCCAAGCACACUGCCACAUUAAAAAAAUAUUACUGUAACUCUUUCUAAAAUUAAAAAAUUACUUAUUAUAAUUAUAUUAAAUGUGUUGAGAAUGUAAAUUGAAUAAAUAAAUGUGUGCUCUAUCUAACGGUUUUAGCAUUAAAUGAAACGGCCACAUAUAUUAACAUGGUAUCAGAGUAUCCAUAUAUUCUUGAGUCGAGUUUAUCGACCGUGUAUAAUUGCACGUUAGUUUGACCCUAGCAAUUGUAGCCAUACUGAAUUAUAUAUCACUUACCGAAAGAUGAACAAGCCAUUUUCCCACUCCAUCUCCGAACCCUGGUUCAAAAUGGUAUGCUGGAGGUGAUCCGUCCAAGC
This 576-nucleotide long non-coding RNA is filed under the name Nicotiana benthamiana. RNAcentral describes it as "long non-coding RNA (NBEN_LNC041213)". Lineage: Eukaryota; Viridiplantae; Streptophyta; Magnoliopsida; Solanales; Solanaceae. The record is from RNAcentral.